UGGUGUCAGCCGCCGCGGUAAAACCAGCACCUCAAGUGGUCAGGAGGAUUAUUGGGCCUAAAGCAUCCGUAGCCGGCUCUGUAAGUUUUCGGUUAAAUCCAUGUGCUCAACGCAUGGGCUGCCGAAAAUACUGCAUAGCUAGGGAGUGGGAGAGGUAGACGGUACUCGGUAGGAAGGGGUAAAAUCCUUUGAUCUAUCGAUGACCACCUGUGGCGAAGGCGGUCUACCGGAACACGUUCGACGGUGAGGGAUGAAAGCUGGGGGAGCAAACCGGAUUAGAUACCCGGGUAGUCCCAGCUGUAAACGAUGCAGACUCGAUGAUGCAUUGGCAUAUAGCCAGUGCAGUGUCGCAGGGAAGCCGUUAAGUCUGCCGCCUGGGAAGUACGUACGCAAGUAUGAAACUUAAAGGAAUUGGCGGGGGAGCACCACAAGGGGUGAAGCCUGCGGUUC
RNAcentral lists this ribosomal RNA (450 nucleotides) under uncultured crenarchaeote. Its description in RNAcentral is "bacterial SSU rRNA". It matches the Rfam family "Archaeal small subunit ribosomal RNA", at positions 453 to 903 of the family's 1478-position model. The record is from RNAcentral. Lineage: Archaea; Thermoproteati; Thermoproteota.